RNAcentral lists this ribosomal RNA (253 nucleotides) under uncultured bacterium. RNAcentral describes it as "partial 16S ribosomal RNA". It matches the Rfam family "Bacterial small subunit ribosomal RNA", at positions 524 to 776 of the family's 1533-position model. The record is from RNAcentral.
UACGGAGGGGGCAAGCGUUGUUCGGAGUCACUGGGCGUAAAGGGCGCGUAGGCGGUGGAGCGAGUCAGGCGUGAAAGCCCCGGGCUUAACCUGGGAAUUGCGCUUGAUACUGCUUUGCUUGAGACCGGGAGAGGAUGGCGGAAUUCCCAGUGUAGAGGUGAAAUUCGUAGAUAUUGGGAAGAACACCGGUGGCGAAGGCGGCCAUCUGGACCGAAUCUGACGCUGAGGCGCGAAAGCGUGGGGAGCAAACAGG